GACGAACGCUGGCGGCGUGCUUAACACAUGCAAGUCGAACGGAAAGGCCCUGCUUUUGUGGGGUGCUCGAGUGGCGAACGGGUGAGUAACACGUGAGUAACCUGCCCUUGACUUUGGGAUAACUUCAGGAAACUGGGGCUAAUACCGGAUAGGAGCUCCUGCUGCAUGGUGGGGGUUGGAAAGUUUCGGCGGUUGGGGAUGGACUCGCGGCUUAUCAGCUUGUUGGUGGGGUAGUGGCUCACCAAGGCUUUGACGGGUAGCCGGCCUGAGAGGGUGACCGGCCACAUUGGGACUGAGAUACGGCCCAGACUCCUACGGGAGGCAGCAGUGGGGAAUAUUGCACAAUGGGCGGAAGCCUGAUGCAGCAACGCCGCGUGCGAGAUGACGGCCUUCGGGUUGUAAACCGCUUUCGCCUGUGACGAAGCGUGAGUGACGGUAAUGGGUAAAGAAGCACCGGCUAACUACGUGCCAGCAGCCGCGGUGAUACGUAGGGUGCGAGCGUUGUCCGGAUUUAUUGGGCGUAAAGGGCUCGUAGGUGGUUGAUCGCGUCGGAAGUGUAAUCUUGGGGCUUAACCCUGAGCGUGCUUUCGAUACGGGUUGACUUGAGGAAGGUAGGGGAGAAUGGAAUUCCUGGUGGAGCGGUGGAAUGCGCAGAUAUCAGGAGGAACACCAGUGGCGAAGGCGGUUCUCUGGGCCUUUCCUGACGCUGAGGAGCGAAAGCGUGGGGAGCGAACAGGCUUAGAUACCCUGGUAGUCCACGCUGUAAACGGUGGGUACUAGGUGUGGGGUCCAUUCCACGGGUUCCGUGCCGUAGCUAACGCUUUAAGUACCCCGCCUGGGGAGUACGGCCGCAAGGCUAAAACUCAAAGGAAUUGACGGGGCCCCGCACAAGCGGCGGAGCAUGCGGAUUAAUUCGAUGCAACGCGUAGAACCUUACCUGGGUUUGACAUGGAUCGGGAGUGCUCAGAGAUGGGUGUGCCUCUUUUGGGGUCGGUUCACAGGUGGUGCAUGCCUGUCGUCAGCUCGUGUCGUGAGAUGUUGGGUUAAGUCCCGCAACGAGCGCAACCCUUGUUCACUGUUGCCAGCACGUUAUGGUGGGGACUCAGUGGAGACCGCCGGGGUCAACUCGGAGGAAGGUGGGGAUGACGUCAAGUCAUCAUGCCCCUUAUGUCCAGGGCUUCACGCAUGCUACAAUGGCUGGUACAGAGAGUGGCGAGCCUGUGAGGGUGAGCGAAUCUCGGAAAGCCGGUCUCAGUUCGGAUUGGGGUCUGCAACUCGACCUCAUGAAGUCGGAGUCGCUAGUAAUCGCAGAUCAGCAACGCUGCGGUGAAUACGUUCCCGGGGCU
This 1346-nucleotide ribosomal RNA is filed under the name uncultured bacterium. RNAcentral's name for it is "partial 16S ribosomal RNA". It matches the Rfam family "Bacterial small subunit ribosomal RNA", at positions 28 to 1381 of the family's 1533-position model. The record is from RNAcentral.